UGUGAUGUGGCUUAGUGGUAAAGUGUUUGCCUAACAUGCAUGAAGCCCUGGGUUUGAUUUCUCAGUACCACAU
Dipodomys ordii (Ord's kangaroo rat) is the source of this 73-nucleotide non-coding RNA. NCBI's taxonomy places the organism in Eukaryota, Metazoa, Chordata, Mammalia, Rodentia, Heteromyidae. The record is from Rfam.